This 1154-nucleotide ribosomal RNA is filed under the name uncultured bacterium. RNAcentral describes it as "bacterial SSU rRNA". It matches the Rfam family "Bacterial small subunit ribosomal RNA", at positions 8 to 1154 of the family's 1533-position model. The record is from RNAcentral.
AGAGUUUGAUCCUGGCUCAGAACGAACGCUGGCGGCGUGCCUAACACAUGCAAGUCGAACGAGAAAUCGGGCACUCAGGCAACUGAGUGCCGGAGAGUAAAGUGGCGCACGGGUGAGUAACGCGUGGGUAACCCACCCCUGAAUCUGGAAUAACUUCGCGAAAGCGUUGCUAAUACCGGAUAUUGCCCCGAGGACUUUGGCUCUCGGGGUGAAAGGUGACCUCUUCACGAAAGUUGCCGUUCAGGGAAGGGCCCGCGUACCAUUAGCUUGUUGGUGAGGUAAUGGCCCACCAAGGCGACGAUGGUUAGCUGGUCUGAGAGGAUGAUCAGCCACACUGGAACUGGAACACGGUCCAGACUCCUACGGGAGGCAGCAGUGAGGAAUUUUGCGCAAUGGGGGAAACCCUGACGCAGCAACGCCGCGUGAGUGAAGAAGGCCUUCGGGUCGUAAAGCUCUGUCAAGUGGGAAAAAAUGCUCUCGAUAAAUAGUCGAGAGAACUGAUGGUACCACUGGAGGAAGCACCGGCUAACUCCGUGCCAGCAGCCGCGGUAAUACGGAGGGUGCAAGCGUUGUUCGGAAUUACUGGGCGUAAAGAGCGUGUAGGCGGUUUGGCAAGUCAGAUGUGAAAGCCCUGGGCUCAACCCAGGAAGUGCAUUUGAAACUGCCUGACUGGAGUAUGGGAGAGGAGAGUGGAAUUCCCAGUGUAGAGGUGAAAUUCGUAGAUAUUGGGAGGAACACCCGUGGCGAAAGCGACUCUCUGGACCAAUACUGACGCUGAGACGCGAAAGCGUGGGGAGCAAACAGGAUUAGAUACCCUGGUAGUCCACGCCGUAAACGAUGAGAACUAGGUGUAGCGGGUAUUGACCCCUGCUGUGCCGGAGUUAACGCAUUAAGUUCUCCGCCUGGGGAGUACGGCCGCAAGGCUAAAACUCAAAGGAAUUGACGGGGGCCCGCACAGCGGUGGAGCAUGUGUUUAAUUCGACGCAACGCGAGACUUACCUGGGUUUGACAUCCUCUGACGUCCGGAAACGGAUUUUCGACUGUCGACGAUGACAGGUGCUGCAUGCUGUCGUCAGCUCGGUCUGAAAUGUGGUAGUCCGCACGAGGCACUUAUCUUUAGUUGCAGAUUAGGUAAGCACUCUAAAGAACUGCCU